CUAAGUUUGAUGGCGACCGGCGCACGGGUGAGUAACACGUAUCCAACCUGCCGAUGACUCGGGGAUAGCCUUUCGAAAGAAAGAUUAAUACCCGAUGGCAUAGUUCUUCCGCAUGGUAGAACUAUUAAAGAAUUUCGGUCGUCGAUGGGGAUGCGUUCCAUUAGGUUGUUGGCGGGGUAACGGCCCACCAAGCCUUCGAUGGAUAGGGGUUCUGAGAGGAAGGUCCCCCACAUUGGAACUGAGACACGGUCCAGACUCCUACGGGAGGCAGCAUG
Molecule: ribosomal RNA, 275 nt
Filed under: uncultured bacterium
Lineage: Bacteria
Description: partial 16S ribosomal RNA
Rfam family: Bacterial small subunit ribosomal RNA
Source: RNAcentral